CCUACGGGUGGCAGCAGUCGAGAAUUUUUCACAAUGGGGGCAACCCUGAUGGAGCGACGCCGCGUGGAGGAUGAAUGCUUUCGGGUUGUAAACUCCUGUCAUUUGGGAACUAGUACCAGAAGAGGAAGAGACGGCUAACUCUGUGCCAGCAGCCGCGGUAAUACAGAGGUCUCAAGCGUUGUUCGGAUUCAUUGGGCGUAAAGGGUGCGUAGGUGGCGCUGUAAGUCAGGUGUGAAAUUUCGGAGCUUAACUCCGAAACUGCAUUUGAUACUGCGGUGCUUGAGGACUGGAGAGGAGACUGGAAUUCACGGUGUAGCAGUGAAAUGCGUAGAGAUCGUGAGGAAGACCAGUGGCGAAGGCGGGUCUCUGGACAGUCCUGACACUGAGGCACGAAGGCCAGGGGAGCAAACGGGAUUAGAUACCCUUGUAGUC
This 432-nucleotide ribosomal RNA is filed under the name uncultured bacterium. RNAcentral's name for it is "partial 16S ribosomal RNA". It matches the Rfam family "Bacterial small subunit ribosomal RNA", at positions 338 to 795 of the family's 1533-position model. The record is from RNAcentral.